This 253-nucleotide ribosomal RNA is filed under the name uncultured bacterium. Its description in RNAcentral is "partial 16S ribosomal RNA". It matches the Rfam family "Bacterial small subunit ribosomal RNA", at positions 524 to 776 of the family's 1533-position model. The record is from RNAcentral.
UACGUAGGUGGCAAGCGUUGUCCGGAUUUAUUGGGUUUAAAGGGCUCGUAGGCGGCCAACUCAGUCGGAUGUGAAAUCCCCAGGCUUAACCUGGGAACUGCAUCCGAUACUGGAUGGCUUGAAUCCGGGAGAGGGAUGCAGAAUUCCAGGUGUAGCGGUGAAAUGCGUAGAUAUCUGGAGGAAUACCGGUGGCGAAGGCGGCAUCCUGGACCGGCAUUGACGCUGAUGAGCGAAAGCUAGGGGAGCAAACGGG